This 253-nucleotide ribosomal RNA is filed under the name uncultured bacterium. RNAcentral's name for it is "partial 16S ribosomal RNA". It matches the Rfam family "Bacterial small subunit ribosomal RNA", at positions 524 to 776 of the family's 1533-position model. The record is from RNAcentral.
UACGUAGGGUGCGAGCGUUGUCCGGAAUUACUGGGCGUAAAGCGCGUGUAGGCGGCAACGCAAGUCGGGCGUGAAAUCCCACGGCUCAACCGUGGAAGUGCACUCGAAACUGCGUAGCUAGAGUCCUGGAGAGGAAGGUGGAAUGCUUGGUGUAGAGGUGAAAUUCGUAGAUAUCAAGCGGAACACCGGUGGCGAAGGCGGCCUUCUGGACAGUGACUGACGCUGAGACGCGAAAGCGUGGGGAGCAAACAGG